Long non-coding RNA from Grus americana (Whooping crane), 1629 nucleotides. RefSeq lists it as uncharacterized. The transcript has 3 exons. Lineage: Eukaryota; Metazoa; Chordata; Aves; Gruiformes; Gruidae. The record is from RefSeq and is a predicted model, not a curated record.
GACGCCGGGGGGUUCCGGGGCUGGGAGGGGGCGGUCUGGCGCCGGGGGCGGCUGCUGGGCGCGGGCCGGGCCCUGCCGGGGAGCCCCAGCCCCGGGGGCCUCGCUGGGGACGGCCCUGCCCGGCCCCGGCCCUCUGCCCGCCGGGGCUGGCCGUGCAGCCCAAGGCCGGCCCUGCAUCGGUGUAGCUCCAGCCCAGGGAAAUUUCAGCUCCAGCCCUACAGUUUUUAUUUGAACUCCAGUUCUGUGGUCUUUGGGUUUGCUCCAGCCCCACAGCAGUGAUUUCGGCCCCAGGCCUAUGGUCCUUAGCCCAGCUCUGUGUGAUUUCAGCCUCAGCCCUUCUGGUCUGUAUUUCAGCUCCACUCCCAGCCCGACUGCAGUGAUUUCAGCUCCAGCCCUACAGUUUUUAUUCCAGCUCUGAGUGAUUUCAGUUCUGGCCCUACAGUAUUUAUUUCAGCUCCAGGUUCGGUGUUUCAGCUCCAGCCGCAGUCGUUCUUCAGCCCCAGCUCUGUCCUGGCUCAGCUCCAGCCCCACAGCAGUGAUUUCAGCUCCAGCCCUGCCAUCUUUAGUCCAGCUCUGGGUGAUUUCAGCUCAGGCCCUGUGGUUUUUAUUUCAGCUCUGAGUGAUUUCAGCCCCAGCCCUACAGUUUUGAUUUCAACUCCAGCUCCAGGUUUGGUAUUUCAGCUCCAGCCCCACAGCAGUGAUUUCAGCCCUGGCCCUACAGUUUUUAUUUCAGCUCUGAGUGAUUUCAGCUCUGGCCGUACAGUAUUUAUUUCAGCUCUGGCCCUGAAGGAUUUCUUUCAGCUCCAGCCCCAGGUUCAGUAUUUCAGCUGUUAGAUUUCAGCUCCGGCCCUACAGUUUUUAGUCCAGCUCUGUUAGAUUUCAGCCCCAGCUGUACAGUUUUUAUUUCAGCUUCAGGUUUGGUAUUUCAGCUCCAGCUGCAGUCAUUCUUCAGCCCGAGCCCCACAUCAGACAUUUCAGCCCCGGCACUACAGUUUUUAUUCCAGCUCUGAGUGAUUUCAGCUCCAGGUUUGGUGUUUCAGCUCCAGCUGCAGUCGUUCUUCAGCUCCAGCUCUGUCACAUCUCAGCCGCAGCCCCACAGCAGUGAUUUCAGCUCCAACCCUGCCAUCCUGAUUUCAUCUCCCACCCUACAGUAGCUAUUGAACCCCAGGAUUUCCACUCCAGGCCUGUGCUGUUUCCCCUCCCACCCCCCCCCACUCUUUAUUUCACCCCCCAGCCUCACAGACUUUCUUACGGCUCCAGCUCUGCGUUGUUUCAGCUUCAGCCCUGCAGUGUUUAGCUCAGCCUCAGCUCUACAUCUUCCUGUUGCCUCCGUGUUCUCACAGCAGCUCUGGGGGCUGUUGAUAAGGUAGUAAGUCAAUCACUGUCAUCACUCAACUAUCAAAACUGUCCCACUGUGUCUGUCCCCUGAAUAAAGUGUUCCUGUUGUGUGUGUCCCCAUUUCAGAGGGGAGUUUGGCCUGGUGCAUGCUGGCAUCCCAUGUUUCAGGGGCAAAUAAAACCAGACCCCCACCUCUGCUUGUUUUCAGGCCCAGAAACACAGCACUCUGGGGACUUUUGGAGCAGCUGAACCCCAGGACUGAGCUGGGCUGUUCAGCCCCAACCACAGAAC